This 327-nucleotide unclassified non-coding RNA is filed under the name Metamycoplasma canadense. RNAcentral describes it as "Mycoplasma canadense partial contains 16S ribosomal RNA, 16S-23S ribosomal RNA intergenic spacer, and 23S ribosomal RNA". The stretch from base 1 to 92 matches the Rfam family "Bacterial small subunit ribosomal RNA", at positions 1442 to 1533 of the family's 1533-position model. Lineage: Bacteria; Bacillati; Mycoplasmatota; Mycoplasmoidales; Metamycoplasmataceae. The record is from RNAcentral.
CUCGGAGGCGACCGCCUAAGGUAGGACUGGUGACUGGGGUGAAGUCGUAACAAGGUAUCCCUACGAGAACGUGGGGAUGGAUCACCUCCUUUCAACGGAGUACACAAUGUUAUGGAAAAAUUAUUUGUAUCCAGUUUUGAGAGAUUUAUCUCUCUUUUUGUUCUUUGAAAACUGAAUAUCGACAUUGAAAAAUUAAAUUAUUAAUAUUUCAAAGUUUAGAUCAACCUAUAGAAUAUAUCAUACAAUAGACAAACAAUAGGUCUUAUACUACUAUUAAACAAGAUAAGAGUUUUUGGUGGAUGCCUUGGGUCUGAAAGUCGAUGAGGA